CUUUAGAACAUCCCCUGCCACGUGGCAAGCCUGGGGUCUACUUGACAUUGGUCAGUGCAAACGAAAACAGCUGGUGCCUUGGCAGGAACGAGGUACAGGUGGUCAUGUUUGAAGUGG
This is a non-coding RNA of Caenorhabditis elegans, 117 nucleotides long. Lineage: Eukaryota; Metazoa; Nematoda; Chromadorea; Rhabditida; Rhabditidae. The record is from Ensembl.